CCUACGGGAGGCAGCAGUAGGGAAUCUUCCACAAUGGGCGCAAGCCUGAUGGAGCAACACCGCGUGAGUGAAGAAGGGUUUCGGCUCGUAAAGCUCUGUUGUUAGAGAAGAACGUGCGUGAGAGCAACUGUUCACGCAGUGACGGUAUCUAACCAGAAAGUCACGGCUAACUACGUGCCAGCAGCCGCGGUAAUACGUAGGUGGCAAGCGUUAUCCGGAUUUAUUGGGCGUAAAGCGAGCGCAGGCGGUUUGAUAAGUCUGAUGUGAAAGCCUUUGGCUUAACCAAAGAAGUGCAUCGGAAACUGUCAGACUUGAGUGCAGAAGAGGACAGUGGAACUCCAUGUGUAGCGGUGGAAUGCGUAGAUAUAUGGAAGAACACCAGUGGCGAAGGCGGCUGUCUGGUCUGCAACUGACGCUGAGGCUCGAAAGCAUGGGUAGCGAACAGGAUUAGAUACCCCUGUAGUC
Molecule: ribosomal RNA, 465 nt
Filed under: uncultured Lactobacillus sp.
Lineage: Bacteria; Bacillati; Bacillota; Bacilli; Lactobacillales; Lactobacillaceae
Description: bacterial SSU rRNA
Rfam family: Bacterial small subunit ribosomal RNA
Source: RNAcentral